RNAcentral lists this unclassified non-coding RNA (328 nucleotides) under soil metagenome. Its description in RNAcentral is "partial contains 5.8S ribosomal RNA, internal transcribed spacer 2, and large subunit ribosomal RNA". The stretch from base 1 to 120 matches the Rfam family "5.8S ribosomal RNA", at positions 35 to 154 of the family's 154-position model. The record is from RNAcentral.
GAUGAAGAAAGCAGCGAAAUGCGAUAAGUAAUGUGAAUUGCAGAAUUCAGUGAAUCAUCGAAUCUUUGAACGCACAUUGCGCCCCUUGGUAUUCCGAGGGGCAUGCCUGUUCGAGCGUCAUUAUAACCCUCAAGCUCAGCUUGGUGUUGGGGCCUGCUGCACUGGCAGCCCUUAAAAUCAGUGGCGGCGCCAUCUGGCUCUAAGCGUAGUAAUUCUUCUCGCUAUGGAGUCCUGGUGGAUGCUUGCCAUCAACCCCCAAUUUUUCUAUGGUUGACCUCGGAUCAGGUAGGGAUACCCGCUGAACUUAAGCAUAUCAAUAAGCGGAGGA